CCGGGUUGCUUGGUAACUGUUGCGCGCGCUCUCUCAGGACAGGGAGAGGGUGGCCGCGGCUGCAGUGCCCGCGGGACUGAGUCGUGCAGCCUUUCCUGCACCCUGAUGUCGAAGGAUGUGGCCAAAGGCGACAGAGAGGGAGAGGGGAGCAAAUCCUGCAAGACCAGGUCCAUCGGGGAAUUAGUCCUGCCCGGGGGCCCUGUGCGUGAGGCGAGGCAUGUGAAGCAAGCGUCGAAGGCAACCCCGGUCAAACACAGGAAGCAGGAAGGGCUGAAGCGGACCAGUGUGGCCGUGCUGAAGUAUAACCCAGGUUUAGCCAAAUCCCGCCAAACCGACAAUCGCAAGGGUCCCUCCAAGAAAAGCUCCUCCAAAGACACUGGCGAGUCUCCGCUCUGGAGCAAUGUACACGGUGGCACAGAGGUAUACUUCACCGGCCAUGCAAUCAGACAUUUACAACCAAGAUCUCAGAGUUCUCCUGAUAAACGCCUAGAUUCGAAAUCCUCAUUGAAAAGACCAAAUCAAUUACAGACCAAGUCCCAGCAGCAAAAAACAACCAUCCCACCGCCAGCACCUUGCCCACAACCUUGGCCUCUUGUUAAGAAAUCAGGUGCCUCAACAGAUGCCCUCAACCCUCUGUGAGGUGGCUAUGUGAAGGACAAGGCCCGGAUUAGGGUGAUAUCAGCCCUCCUUUCUUCUCACCCCAUAGAUGGUCCCAAGCAGGAAGACAUUAAAGUGUAUCGUGGACGUUGGCGAUGUCUUCAAUACCUCUGGGACCAGAUUUGCUGCCAGCCCCAGAAGAAAACAACUAUUUUGUAUGAAUGAACAAUUCCAAUGGAGUAUCGUAUUGCUAAGUAAAGACUGAGAAGGUGAUAACUAUGUGAAACUUCAAGAUCCAAAUCCAUAGGAGCCAAAGAGUGGGCUAAAGCAGUCAAUCCAGAAUUGCUGCUGAAGCUAGGACCUGCAGAGUUCAUAUGGAAAUAUUGACUCCAACAAUGCCGUAAACAACUGCUACUCUGGUAUUAUUACUGAAUAUGAAUGAGGUUUUUAAGCUCCUAGCUGUAUAUCUGGAGACAAGACAAUAAAGGAUGAUUCAAAAAGGUCCAGUGUGGGCUUUGUGAAAGGUGGAUAACUUGGACAGUUUGAGAUAUUCAUUGUAUGAGACAGUGAUCCCUAUGUUAAUACUUCGAUCCGACAUACAUUGUGCUGACUAACCAGACCAUGAGCAUCUCUGUCCCAGCAGGCAUCAUGCCCAAGUGAUGUAAGCAUGGUUUUUGUUGAGGUUUAUCCUGACUCUAUGCCCUGGGACACACACUGAGACAAACAUGAACUGCAUAUGGAGGACCAUCAACUCGGUGCAUGACGCUCUUUGGUCUGUCCGAAACCUGUUGGUCUUUCAGAACAAGGAGUUCACCUUGACCGAGCAUUGCAGGCUGUCACAUUCCAAGAUCUAGAGCAAUGUGCUGAGGGCUGCAGUAAAGUUUGGAGCAUUAGGGAAAAACCAGUGUCUAAGGUCUUCCUGCUGAAGUUAAAGGGGGGGGGGGAUAUGUUGUUAUCAGACCCCCC
Non-coding RNA from Chiloscyllium plagiosum (whitespotted bambooshark), 1563 nucleotides. The record is from RefSeq and is a predicted model, not a curated record. NCBI's taxonomy places the organism in Eukaryota, Metazoa, Chordata, Chondrichthyes, Orectolobiformes, Hemiscylliidae.